UACGGAGGAUCCGAGCGUUAUCCGGAUUUAUUGGGUUUAAAGGGUGCGUAGGCGGCCUUUUAAGUCAGCGGUGAAAGUCUGUGGCUCAACCAUAGAAUUGCCGUUGAAACUGGGGGGCUUGAGUGCAGGAGAGGUAAGCGGAAUUCCUGGUGUAGCGGUGAAAUGCGUAGAUAUCAGGAGGAACACCAGUGGCGAAGGCGGCUUACUGGACUGUAACUGACGUUGAGGCUCGAAAGCGUGGGGAGCAAACAGG
This 253-nucleotide ribosomal RNA is filed under the name uncultured bacterium. RNAcentral describes it as "partial 16S ribosomal RNA". It matches the Rfam family "Bacterial small subunit ribosomal RNA", at positions 524 to 776 of the family's 1533-position model. The record is from RNAcentral.